GGAGAUAUAGCUCAGUUGGUAGAGUGCUUGCCUUGUAUGCCCAGGCGCUGGAUUCAAUCCCCAGUACCACCA
This 72-nucleotide transfer RNA is filed under the name Urocitellus parryii (Arctic ground squirrel). RNAcentral describes it as "Spermophilus parryii (Arctic ground squirrel) tRNA". It matches the Rfam family "tRNA". Rfam says of the family: Transfer RNA (tRNA) molecules are approximately 80 nucleotides in length. Their secondary structure includes four short double-helical elements and three loops (D, anti-codon, and T loops). The record is from Rfam by way of RNAcentral. Lineage: Eukaryota; Metazoa; Chordata; Mammalia; Rodentia; Sciuridae. RNAcentral also lists the same sequence under 2 other names.